AGCUUAUACAUGCAGUCGAGGGGCAGCACAGGGUAGCAAUACCUGGGUGGCGACCGGCAAACGGGCGCGGAACACGUACAGAACCUACCUUCGAGCGGGGGAUAGCCCAGAGAAAUUUGGAUUAAUACCCCAUAGUAUAUUUGGAUGGCAUCAUUUGAAUAUUAAAGAUUUAUCACUUGAAGAUGGCUGUGCGUAUGAUUAGGUAGUUGGCGGGGUAACGGCCCACCAAGCCUACGAUCAUUAACUGGUGUGAGAGCACGACCAGUCACACGGGCACUGAGACACGGGCCCGACUCCUACGGGAGGCAGCAGUAAGGAAUAUUGGUCAAUGGACGCAAGUCUGAACCAGCCAUGCCGCGUGGAGGAUGAAGGUCCUCUGGAUUGUAAACUUCUUUUAUCUGGGACGAAAAAAGGGAAUUCUUUCUCGUCUGACGGUACCAGAUGAAUAAGCACCGGCUAACUCCGUGCCAGCAGCCGCGGUAAUACGGAGGGUGCAAGCGUUAUCCGGAUUCACUGGGUUUAAAGGGUGCGUAGGCGGGUAUGUAAGUCCGUGGUGAAAUCUCCGAGCUUAACUCGGAAACUGCCAUGGGUACUGCGUAUCUUGAAUGUUGUGGAGGUGAGCGGAAUAUGUCAUGUAGCGGUGAAAUGCUUAGAUAUGACAUAGAACACCAAUUGCGAAAGGCAGCUCACUACACAAAUAUUGACGCUGAGCACGAAAGCGUGGGGAUCAAACAGGAUUAGAUACCCUGGUAGUCCACGCCCUAAACGAUGAUUACUCGACAUACGUGAUACACAAUGUGUGUCUGAGCGAAAGCAUUAAGUAUCCACCUGGGAAGUACGACCGCAGUGAAACUCAAAGGAAUUGACGGGGUCCGCACAGCGGUGGAAG
This 889-nucleotide ribosomal RNA is filed under the name uncultured bacterium. RNAcentral's name for it is "bacterial SSU rRNA". It matches the Rfam family "Bacterial small subunit ribosomal RNA", at positions 45 to 938 of the family's 1533-position model. The record is from RNAcentral.